UCCGUAGGUGAACCUGCGGAAGGAUCAUUACUAAG
This 35-nucleotide ribosomal RNA is filed under the name Mycosphaerella bixae. Its description in RNAcentral is "partial 18S ribosomal RNA". The record is from RNAcentral. Lineage: Eukaryota; Fungi; Ascomycota; Dothideomycetes; Mycosphaerellales; Mycosphaerellaceae.